This is a non-coding RNA of Camellia sinensis, 768 nucleotides long. The record is from RefSeq and is a predicted model, not a curated record. Lineage: Eukaryota; Viridiplantae; Streptophyta; Magnoliopsida; Ericales; Theaceae.
AACCGGUAGGGGAACAGGUGCUUAUCUCUGGAAGAAUUUACUCUUUGGCUUCACUUGUGAUACCUCCAAUAGACUUAAUGCUAUUGUUUUGUUGUAUAUUUUAAAUGUUGUACAGUGGAGCUCAUCAUUUAUGAUAGCACCCUGUCUUGCCACAUCUAUAUCAAGUUUUAACAUUCUUGGUUGCAAUCAAUGAGAGGGAACUUGUCAAUGGAACACUUGACAACAUGGGAUUGGAGAUGUUGAUGAAUAUGUUUGGGGGUCUUGGGAUUGGAAGCCCUGCCGUUCCUGUCAGAUCAGAUGUGCCCCCGGAAGAACUGUAUGCCACUCAGCUCUCAUAGCUACAAGAAAUGGGCUUCUUUGAUACCCGAGAGAAUAUACAGGCACUAAUAGCCACUGCAAGGAAUGUUCAUGCUGCAGUGGAGCGGCUUUUGGGGAACCCCGCUAGCAGAAGCAGCAAAAGCAUAAUUUUCACGUGAUUACAGUGAUAACCUUGCUCUUGUCCGGGCUUAUGAGGCCUGGAAAGAAGCUGAAAGAGACGUAGCUGGAUAUGAAUACUGUUGGAAGAAUUUUCUUUUUGCUCAAUCAAUGAAAACUAUUGAUGCUCUGUGAAGGGAGUUCUACUCUUUACUUAAGGAAUAUGUUUUAAAUUUUAAUGCUAAGUGGAUGUGAAUUGGAUGAUUAUAUAGAUUACAAGUGGAUUUUUAAUUGAACGAAUAUGUAGUUUGGAAUUACUUGUGGAUGAAAAUUUAUAAUAGUUGUUGACUUUAA